RNAcentral lists this unclassified non-coding RNA (498 nucleotides) under Hevea brasiliensis (rubber tree). The record is from RNAcentral. Lineage: Eukaryota; Viridiplantae; Streptophyta; Magnoliopsida; Malpighiales; Euphorbiaceae.
AAGAAAGUUAAUUCUAACAUCACCAAUACCAAAGUUUCUAAUGCACUCCUAGUUAAGGAAGAGAGCGUAGAAAACAAUGAAGCACCAAAUAAAGUGCAAAGUUCUUUGUUUGACAGUCCUGUGUCUGAUGACAAUGCAACCAUUUCUCCUCUAAACUUUCACCAGGAACUAGCAACUCCUCUCAAGGAUUCUCCUCUCACAGUAACUCCAGAGGAUUUUGAUAACUACAUUAGUUCACUUGAUGACAUUCUACAUUUGCCUAUUCACGGAAGCCCAAGCAUUAUCUCUGGCUCUUGCGGAGAAAAAGAAAUGACUGGAGCUCGAAAGAAACUUGUUAACCUCCUACGUAUUGGUUUUCCUGCUUUAUUUAACUCUGACAGACUUACUGAAGUUGCAGCCUUGUCUUUGGAGCUGCAGAAUGAACCUAACCUCAGUGAUAGAGAGCUUUCAAUGCUGAAGCUAGUCCAAGAAAUCCCACUAGCCAGCAAAGAUUUCCUA